CUGCACGAAUGGCGUAAUGAUGGCCAGGCUGUCUCCACCCGAGACUCAGUGAAAUUGAACUCGCUGUGAAGAUGCAGUGUACCCGCGGCAAGACGGAAAGACCCCGUGAACCUUUACUAUAGCUUGACACUGAACAUUGAGCCUUGAUGUGUAGGAUAGGUGGGAGGCUUUGAAGUGUGGACGCCAGUCUGCAUGGAGCCGACCUUGAAAUACCACCCUUUAAUGUUUGAUGUUCUAACGUGGACCCGUAAUCCGGGUUGCGGACAGUGUCUGGUGGGUAGUUUGACUGGGGCGGUCUCCUCCUAAAGAGUAACGGAGGAGCACGAAGGUUGGCUAAUCCUGGUCGGACAUCAGGAGGUUAGUGCAAUGGCAUAAGCCAGCUUGACUGCGAGCGUGACGGCGCGAGCAGGUGCGAAAGCAGGUCAUAGUGAUCCGGUGGUUCUGAAUGGAAGGGCCAUCGCUCAACGGAUAAAAGGUACUCCGGGGAUAACAGGCUGAUACCGCCCAAGAGUUCAUAUCGACGGCGGUGUUUGGCACCUCGAUGUCGGCUCAUCACAUCCUGGGGCUGAAGUAGGUCCCAAGGGUAUGGCUGUUCGCCAUUUAAAGUGGUACGCGAGCUGGGUUUAGAACGUCGUGAGACAGUUCGGUCCCUAUCUGCCGUGGGCGCUGGAGAACUGAGGGGGGCUGCUCCUAGUACGAGAGGACCGGAGUGGACGCAUCACUGGUGUUCGGGUUGUCAUGCCAAUGGCACUGCCCGGUAGCUAAAUGCGGAAGAGAUAAGUGCUGAAAGCAUCUAAGCACGAAACUUGCC
This 811-nucleotide ribosomal RNA is filed under the name Salmonella enterica subsp. enterica. RNAcentral's name for it is "partial 23S ribosomal RNA". It matches the Rfam family "Bacterial large subunit ribosomal RNA", at positions 1988 to 2798 of the family's 2925-position model. The record is from RNAcentral. Lineage: Bacteria; Pseudomonadati; Pseudomonadota; Gammaproteobacteria; Enterobacterales; Enterobacteriaceae.